GUAGGUGAACCUGCAGAUGGAUCAUUUCGAUGAAAACCUUUUUUCAGAGGUGUGGCUCGCACCUGUCCAACUAAACUUGAGCUACCUUUUUUCAACACGGUUGCAUCGGUCGGCCUGUCAAACAGUGCGACGCAAGGAGAAAAUCCUCGCGUCUGCUGGGCGACGGACGGACAAUUUUAUUUAACACUUUUGGAUGAUCUAGGAUUUGAAGGAGAAAAAGUCAUUUUUACGAAUGAAAUCGACUGGUAAUGCGGUCGUCUAAUUUAAAAAACAACUUUUGGCAACGGAUCUCUUGGUUCUC
This 301-nucleotide unclassified non-coding RNA is filed under the name rhizosphere metagenome. RNAcentral describes it as "partial ribosomal RNA internal transcribed spacer region". The record is from RNAcentral.